Molecule: ribosomal RNA, 460 nt
Filed under: uncultured bacterium
Lineage: Bacteria
Description: partial 16S ribosomal RNA
Rfam family: Bacterial small subunit ribosomal RNA
Source: RNAcentral
CCUACGGGGGGCAGCAGUGAGGAAUAUUGGUCAAUGGACGAGAGUCUGAACCAGCCAAGUAGCGUGAAGGAUGACUGCCCUAUGGGUUGUAAACUUCUUUUAUAUGGGAAUAAAAUGUUCCACGUGUGGGAUUUUGUAUGUACCAUAUGAAUAAGGAUCGGCUAACUCCGUGCCAGCAGCCGCGGUACUACGGAGGAUCCGAGCGUUAUCCGGAUUUAUUGGGUUUAAAGUGAGCGUAGGUGGAUUGUUAAGUCAGUUGUGAAAGUUUGCGGAUCAACCGUAAAAUUGCAGUUGAAACUGGCAGUCUUGAGUACAGUAGAGGUGGGCAGAAUUCGUGGUGUAGCGGUGAAAUGCUUAGAGAUCACGAAGAACUCCGAUUGCGAAGGCAGCUCACUGGACUGCAACUGACACUGAGGCGCGAAAGUGUGGGUAGCAAACAGGAUUAGAUACCCCUGUAGUC